UACGAAGGGUGCAAGCGUUACUCGGAAUUACUGGGCGUAAAGCGUGCGUAGGUGGUUCGUUAAGUCUGAUGUGAAAGCCCUGGGCUCAACCUGGGAAUGGCAUUGGAAACUGGCGACCUAGAGUGCGGUAGAGGGUAGUGGAAUUCCCGGUGUAGCAGUGAAAUGCGUAGAGAUCGGGAGGAACAUCUGUGGCGAAGGCGACUGCCUGGACCAGCACUGACACUGAGGCACGAGAGCGUGGGGAGCAAACAGG
This 253-nucleotide ribosomal RNA is filed under the name uncultured bacterium. Its description in RNAcentral is "partial 16S ribosomal RNA". It matches the Rfam family "Bacterial small subunit ribosomal RNA", at positions 524 to 776 of the family's 1533-position model. The record is from RNAcentral.